Molecule: ribosomal RNA, 928 nt
Filed under: Staphylococcus aureus
Lineage: Bacteria; Bacillati; Bacillota; Bacilli; Caryophanales; Staphylococcaceae
Description: partial 23S ribosomal RNA
Rfam family: Bacterial large subunit ribosomal RNA
Source: RNAcentral
GAAAAGCACCCCGGAAGGGGAGUGAAAUAGAACCUGAAACCGUGUGCUUACAAGUAGUCAGAGCCCGUUAAUGGGUGAUGGCGUGCCUUUUGUAGAAUGAACCGGCGAGUUACGAUUUGAUGCAAGGUUAAGCAGUAAAUGUGGAGCCGUAGCGAAAGCGAGUCUGAAUAGGGCGUUUAGUAUUUGGUCGUAGACCCGAAACCAGGUGAUCUACCCUUGGUCAGGUUGAAGUUCAGGUAACACUGAAUGGAGGACCGAACCGACUUACGUUGAAAAGUGAGCGGAUGAACUGAGGGUAGCGGAGAAAUUCCAAUCGAACCUGGAGAUAGCUGGUUCUCUCCGAAAUAGCUUUAGGGCUAGCCUCAAGUGAUGAUUAUUGGAGGUAGAGCACUGUUUGGACGAGGGGCCCCUCUCGGGUUACCGAAUUCAGACAAACUCCGAAUGCCAAUUAAUUUAACUUGGGAGUCAGAACAUGGGUGAUAAGGUCCGUGUUCGAAAGGGAAACAGCCCAGACCACCAGCUAAGGUCCCAAAAUAUAUGUUAAGUGGAAAAGGAUGUGGCGUUGCCCAGACAACUAGGAUGUUGGCUUAGAAGCAGCCAUCAUUUAAAGAGUGCGUAAUAGCUCACUAGUCGAGUGACACUGCGCCGAAAAUGUACCGGGGCUAAACAUAUUACCGAAGCUGUGGAUUGUCCUUUGGACAAUGGUAGGAGAGCGUUCUAAGGGCGUUGAAGCAUGAUCGUAAGGACAUGUGGAGCGCUUAGAAGUGAGAAUGCCGGUGUGAGUAGCGAAAGACGGGUGAGAAUCCCGUCCACCGAUUGACUAAGGUUUCCAGAGGAAGGCUCGUCCGCUCUGGGUUAGUCGGGUCCUAAGCUGAGGCCGACAGGCGUAGGCGAUGGAUAACAGGUUGAUAUUCCUGUACCACCUAUA